UGAAUCACUGACUCAACCACACAAAAGCUCUUCCUCUGUCAGUCAUUCAGUCAGACAGACAGAGACUCUGAGAGAGUUUGUGCAGCAUCAGCCUCUGGAAGAACAACACCGCAGCUGAAAUUAGACAUGCAUCCCAUAUUGAUCAGCAUAGUGGCAGCCAACACAAGUUUAACUAUUGUCUACUGGAACUUUCUUCUGUCUCAGGUUUUCUGCAAGAAGAUCAAAGAUGCACCGCAACCUGAGGAAAUUCCAGUCUGAGUGGAGGCCUUGGUCGUGAUCCUGACAAUGAAGAGGAAGAA
Sinocyclocheilus grahami is the source of this 299-nucleotide long non-coding RNA. RefSeq lists it as uncharacterized. The transcript has 2 exons. The record is from RefSeq and is a predicted model, not a curated record. Lineage: Eukaryota; Metazoa; Chordata; Actinopteri; Cypriniformes; Cyprinidae.